This 252-nucleotide ribosomal RNA is filed under the name uncultured bacterium. RNAcentral's name for it is "partial 16S ribosomal RNA". It matches the Rfam family "Bacterial small subunit ribosomal RNA", at positions 524 to 774 of the family's 1533-position model. The record is from RNAcentral.
UACAGAGGGUGCGAGCGUUUAAUCGGAAUUACUGGGCGUAAAGCGUGCGUAGACGGUUAUUUAAGUCGGGUGUGAAAUCCCCGGGCUCAACCCGGGAACUGCGUCCGAUACUGGCAGGCUUGAAUCCGGGAGAGGGAUGCGGAAUUCCAGGUGUAGCGGUGAAAUGCGUAGAUAUCUGGAGGAACACCGGUGGCGAAGGCGGCAUCCUGGACCGGCAUUGACGCUGAGGCGCGAAAGCCAGGGGAGCAAAGC